GGUUGUUGUGGAAGCUCGGAGUAGUGAUCCGGCUGGUGGAACCUGUCCCAUUGUAGAAGCUCGUCUGGGAUCCAGCUUCGAAGAAGCUCGACUGAAGUCUACCUGUAAUAGAAGUUCGGAAGAAAUUUGUUUACAGUAGAGGCUCGAAUGGAAUUCGCUUACAGUAGAGAUCCGGAGUAGGCCACCUGCAGUAGGAGUUCAGAGUAGACUGGUUGCGAUAGAAGUUCAGAGUAGAGAUCCGGCUGGUGGAGCCCUUCCAUUGUCAAAAUUCGUCUGGGAUCCAUCCACUGUAGGAGUU
RNAcentral lists this long non-coding RNA (298 nucleotides) under Elaeis guineensis (African oil palm). RNAcentral's name for it is "long non-coding RNA (EGUI_LNC060339)". The record is from RNAcentral. Lineage: Eukaryota; Viridiplantae; Streptophyta; Magnoliopsida; Arecales; Arecaceae.